Molecule: non-coding RNA, 30 nt
Filed under: Mus musculus (house mouse)
Lineage: Eukaryota; Metazoa; Chordata; Mammalia; Rodentia; Muridae
Source: RNAcentral
UCAGAGCAUACAUACAGGUGAAAAGCCAUA